RNAcentral lists this ribosomal RNA (225 nucleotides) under uncultured bacterium. Its description in RNAcentral is "partial 16S ribosomal RNA". It matches the Rfam family "Bacterial small subunit ribosomal RNA", at positions 524 to 746 of the family's 1533-position model. The record is from RNAcentral.
UACGUAGGGUGCAAGCGUUGUCCGGAAUUAUUGGGCGUAAAGAGCUCGUAGGCGGUCUGUCGCGUCUGCUGUGAAAACUCAGGGCUUAACCCUGAGCUUGCAGUGGGUACGGGCAGACUAGAGUGCGGUAGGGGAGACUGGAAUUCCUGGUGUAGCGGUGAAAUGCGCAGAUAUCAGGAGGGAACACCGGUGGGCGAAGGCGGGUCUCUGGGCCGUAACUGACGC